ACAUGAUAGAAGUCUAGAGCUGCUUCCAAGGCAACACGUUGACACAGGUAUGGGCCUGGAGAGGAUGACGGCUGUGUUACAGGGGUCAAGGUCAAACUAUGACACUGACCUUUUCCAUCCUCUGUUCAGGAGAAUACAGAAGCUGACUGGGGCUCCAGCCUACCAAGGACUGACCGGCAAGUCUGACCCCCAUCAUACUGACCAGGCAUAUCGGAUCAUAGCUGACCACGCCAGGAUGAUGUCCAUAGCAAUAGCGGAUGGUUUGCUUCCAGGCCGAGAUGGACUGCAGCAUAAACUCCGCUUGAUAAUUCACCGAGCUAUUAGUGAGUUGGAGGUUACAUUCAGAACUGCAGAGACACGUAGUGGAGGCAUUCUGGGAGAUUUGUCCCAGGACGUUGUGGAAUCACUGGGAGAGACUUACCCUGAGUUGUCCAAGAACUCCUCUAAGAUCAGGGAUGUUCUCAAGCUGGCAGCAGAACAGUAUCAGCAACUUCAGAAGAGGAUAAAAUCCAAUAAAAUCCAUCAGUCUUCUGGUUCAAAUCAUACUCAAGUAGAAAAAUCGGAUGGAUUUUACCGCAGAGAGUUCCAAUGUGAGUCAGGUAUGAAGCAGGUGGAACUGUUCCUGCCAAAGUUAGCCGAGCUCCAGGAGAUGGGCGUGGCCAGAACCGAUGACACGUACAAGUACACGGUGUACUCCCGGACAAGUCAUGGCUAUGAUUUCUCGGGUUGCCAGGAGGUAGAGGGGACAGUUGUCGUCAUCAUUACAGGGGCGGAGCUGUGUGGGCGUGUCUCCAUGGGCAAGGUGUGUGGGGUGGUGCUGGACAGAACCUGCUUCUACUCCGAGUCUGGGGGUCAGGCCGGGGACACUGGCUAUCUCCGAACACAGCAUGGUGUGUUGGAGGUGCUCGAUGUACAGGAGCAUGCUGGGUACGUGGUCCACGUUGGCGUUGUGGUGGACGGGGAGGUCAUUCUGGGAGAGUCUGCACGGAUGGAGCUGGACCAGAUGAGGCGGGUGGGGCACAUGUGUAGCCACACAGGGACACACCUCCUGCAUGCAGUAUUGCGGACGGUGUUGCGGGACACAAAGCAGCUCGGGUCUGAUGUCCAGGACAACAAGUUCUCCUUCGAUUUUGCAUCAAUGGGCACGGUGAAUCAGGAACAAACAGCUGCCAUUGAGAGUCUGGUGCAACAACAUAUAGGUGAAGGUCACAGUGUGUCACGCCUGCAGAUGGAGCUGAACGCUGCCAUGGCGAUGGAGGACCUCACAAUGAUGGAGGAUGAGGACUAUCCGUCUCCUGUUCAAGUGAUUAGGAUUGGUGGGGAGUUAUCUCCCUUGACAUCUCUUGAGUUGUGUGGUGGAACUCAUGUGACCAACACCAGCGACCUUGACAGCUUCUGUGUGGUGAACCUAAAGGGCGUGGCACAGGGAAACCAAGAGGGCCACAUGUGUGACGGGGCAUGUAGCCAGACAGGCCAUAGAAAAAGGAGAAGCGCUGGAGUCAAGGUUGUCACAGCUGGUGUCAGAGGUCAAGUCUGGAGGGAACAUUGACUCAUGGAUGGAGAAGGUCAAGGACAUAAAUACAAGUUUGUCUCAAGACUUGUUGCCCAAGUUAGUGAGGGACCGGGUCCGGGAGGAGCUGGAUGUGACAGUGUCCAGGAUCAGGACGGAGCAGAACAAACUGCAGACAGCCUCCCUACAACAGGUGAGUGAGUGAGUGAGUGAGUGAGUGACCAGGUCCGGGUUCUGGUCGGGAGGAGCUGGAUGUGACAGUGUCCAGGAUCAGGACGGAGCAGAACAAACUGCAGACAGCCUCCCUACAACAGAUGGUCCUGGGACUCGUCUCUAACAGCUCCGAGGACGUCAUCUUGCAGCAUUUCACGUUUGAUGGAAAACUGAUGAUGAAAGCCCUUUCUG
Molecule: unclassified non-coding RNA, 1915 nt
Filed under: Haliotis rubra (blacklip abalone)
Lineage: Eukaryota; Metazoa; Mollusca; Gastropoda; Lepetellida; Haliotidae
Description: alanine--tRNA ligase, cytoplasmic-like, transcript variant X1
Source: RNAcentral